GGAGAAGCUUAUUGCGAAGCAACGAGUAUUCCAGAGCCUUAAAGGACCCGUACAUCUGAGAGGCCCAAGUGAUAAAAUCACUUCAGUGGCCAUUCCCCUGGCAAUGACAGUUACUUCUGUAGUUCUCAUUGUACGAGGGAUCUAUGAUAUGUCUCAGAAUAUCGGAAAGAAAGAAGCGUGAGGCAUCUGCAAAUACUUGACGGUGACCUCACAAGUUUUGCAUUUGGAUAACCAUCUACAAAUAAUGGGUACCAGUGCCACUGAUGGAUGAUUCCGGGUAUGCUGUCUUUUUUACUCUGUAAUAAUUUCACAUGAAUUCUGGAUUUUGGAUGAUAUGGUUGAAAGUUCCUGUAUUCCCAGCC
This is a long non-coding RNA of Vitis vinifera (wine grape), 362 nucleotides long. RefSeq lists it as uncharacterized. The transcript has 2 exons. NCBI's taxonomy places the organism in Eukaryota, Viridiplantae, Streptophyta, Magnoliopsida, Vitales, Vitaceae. The record is from RefSeq and is a predicted model, not a curated record.